This 3774-nucleotide long non-coding RNA is filed under the name Mus musculus (house mouse). RNAcentral's name for it is "long non-coding RNA chr3:42163864-42167638". Lineage: Eukaryota; Metazoa; Chordata; Mammalia; Rodentia; Muridae. The record is from RNAcentral.
AUGUGUAUAUUUCUAGAAAAGCUGAACCCGUGCAUGCAUGCAGAGGACUGGGCAAGAAGAGGAGUUAUUCUGCUGCAGCAACAAGGAGUUCUACAUAGUGUUCAAAGGCGCUGAAGGAGGUAGUGAUAUGGGACACAGUAAGCUAAUGUGGUGCUCUCUGGAGUUUGUUACCCUCUCAAUGGUUUCUGUUGCUUUGUGCUGUACCUAUAGCAUUGCUGAAACUCAGACCAUUGGAGUGCUAUGAUUGAAAAAUUAAAAUAAGAUGAUAAGCUUCAGCUCCAUAAAAGGGAAACCUGUCUUCUGCAUGGAAUCAUUAAAAGCUGGACUGAGUUGUUUGGGGCAGUGUGCAUGCAGCAGUAUAGGCAAAAACAGGAUGGAUGGUCAACUGAGCAUUGGGGGAGAGGGUAGGCUAGACAAUCUAUGAAUUCCCUUUUCCUGAGCCUUACUUAGUUUUGUCUUAAAAUCCAUCCUCAGCUUUGGUACCUUGGCUUUUUGGGUAAGCUGCCUUUUCUUGUUCUCAAGGAGCCAUAGCUUGUUACUGUGCUGUAUGGUGGUAGAGGCAAUUAAUCCUCUUCAUUAUCACUGAUUCUCCUUUUUCACCAAUGAUGCUAAUAGAGUAACUACUAAAGAUGUAUUGGUGCGUCUGAAGUCAGUCAUACCAAUAUUCCUGCAAACCAAGACUUGCCUUACUUUUAAUAAAUACUCUUAAUGUAUCUGCUUGUCUCCCAUUUGACUUAGUGCAAAUAAGAAGUGAUUGAAAAUUACGGCACUAUAUUUUAGCAAAGAUUCGACUAAGUCAUUAUCAAGACCAUUUUGUAUUACCAGAAAACUCCUGUGCAUUUCUAGCAAUCAGGUUUUUGCAGUAGCCUGCAUCUCAAACAAAAGGUUGGUCUACUAAACCUUUACUCAAAGUCAGACAAUAUCAAUUUAUUUUCUGGUAGACUUUCAAGCAGCCAAGUCUUUUCUUGAUAUUAUUUUUAUAUGAAAUGUUUAAACUUAGGCACCUGAAUCAUCUAUUUUUUCUUUUUUGGGGGGAGGGUUGUAGCCAUGAGCAUAUGUGAUGAUGCCUUCUGAAAUAUUAACCUCUACUUUCUUUAACCCUUUCUUCACAAAACCUUUACUCUAUUCAAUCACAGAUACCAACUUUGCCUCUGGAGACAUGAAGGAUUGUUUCAUAAGACUCAGAAAAGAAAGAAGCAAUAAGUCAGUGGUCUCCUUAUCCCCAAACAGGUUUUUGAGAAACAAAAGGGAAAACCCAAUGGUUGGCAAUACAGAGUCUAUUACAUCACAAGAGCUUCAGGAAGAAUAGAGGUCCCUCUUCUGCCUCUUAUAUUGGCUAGGAUAGCUACAAAGAGGAAAGGAGGGAAGAUGGCUCAAUAUGGUGUGAGAGGAAGUCAAAUGGGGAGAGGGGGGAUGGAAGAAAAACUUUUGGGGGCAAAUAGUCCUAACGGUAGACAAUUGCCAAGUGGCAUAGGUGGACACCCCCAAAGAGUAUGAGGAGCAAAGUCUGAAUAAUCUCACAGUAACACUGUGUUACACGAAGAAUGUUCCUCACGGUGGUUUUGUGAUUUUUCAUUAUUACUUAAGGAAAACACAAAACUUAAUGUUAGAGAUUAAAAUAUUUCUUAGAUUCUGUGAUCGGCACAUAUCAGGGAUGCUGUUUUUCCAGGUCUACAGUAUCUGCAGCCUCAAAUGGAAGAUGCAGAAGUUAGUUGAAUUGUGUUAUACCAGAAUAUUUUGUUACAUAGAAAGUUAUAGUUACUUUUUUAAAAUUAAAAAAAAAUUAUUAGAUAUUUUCUUUAUAUACAUUUCAAAUGCUAUCCCGAAAGUUCCCUAUACCCUUCCCCUGCCCUGAUUCCCUACCCACCCACUCCCGCUUCUUGGCCCUGGCAUUUCCCUGUACUGGGGCAUAUAAAGUUUGCAAUACCAAUGGGCCUCUCUUCCCAGUGACGGCCGAUAAGGCCAUCUUCUGCUACAUAUGUAGCUAGAGAUACGAGCUCUGGGAGUACUGGUUAGUUCAUAUUGUUGUUCCACUUAUAGGAUUGUAGACCCCUUCAGUUCCUUGGGUGCUUUCUCUAGCUUCUCCAUUGGGGGCCCUGUGUUCCAUCUCAUAGAUGACUGUGAGCAUCCACUUCUGUAUUUGCCAGGCACUGGCAUAGCCUCAUACGAGACAGCUAUAUCAGGAUCACGUCAGGUAAAUCUUUCUGGCAUAUGCAAUAGUGCCUUGAUUUGGUGGCUGAUUAUGGGUUGGAUCCCAGGGUGGGGUAGUCUCUGGAUAGUCCAUCCUUUUGUCUUAGCUCCAAACUUUGUCUCUGUAACUCCUUUCAUGGGUAUUUUGUUCCCUAUUCUAAGGAGGAAUGAAGUAUCCACCCAUUGGUCUUCCCUCUUCUUGAUUUUCUUGUAUUUUACAAAUUGUAUCUUGGGUGUUCUAUGUUUCUGGGCUAAUAUCCACUACUUUUACAGCAUGUAAAUAUGGCAAAAAUGUAACUAUAAUUUAUAGAUAUUACUUUUUCCAUUUCCUUUGGCAGGUACACUCUGCCCAACCACAUGCCAAUGCCUGACAGAAGUUCAGGUAGGCUGCUGCUCUGAAUCGCUUCCACCCUUUCCACCCUCUUGGUGCUACCCAAGACUGUAUCCCCUACCUUCUAAUUUCUUUGAACCAGUCUUCAAUUCUUUGGGAUACUCCUUUCUGGAUCAGAGGCCAAGCAGAUCACUAGAAUUCCAGGAUUCCACCUGCCCUCAGACCUCCUCCACCCUCUUUGUGCCCACCUUUCACUAUCCCUAAUGCCCUCUUCUAUCUUUAUCACCAUGUCCAAACUCUCAACUCAGGCAUGACCCCCUGCUUAAGAGGAGACCACACCUACCACCAGACAUCCAGCCCCAAAUUCAGGUUGAGAUCCCCUGCUCAACAACAGGGUACACAUACCAGAAGACCAAAAGGGAAACAAAAACCAAGGAACAAAACACCCACCCAACAAAGAAAAACUCAGAAACUAGUCUCUAGACCCAUAACCCCAAACUCAGAUGCCUAGAUGCCAGUGUAAGAACACAAUUAACAAUAGCCAGGUCAACAUGGCACCACCAGAGCCCAGAUAUCCUAUAACAACAAACCCUGAAUAUUUCAACACAGCUGAAGCAUAAGAAAAAAGAACUUAAAACCAACUUUAUGAAGAUGAUAGAGGUCCUUAAAAGAAGUGAGUAAAUCCUUUAAAGAAAUUGAGGAAAAGAGAAACAAACAAACAAAAAAAAUUGGAGGAAAUGAAUAAGUCCCUUAGAGAAAGCCAAGAAAGCUAAGAAAAAACAAGCAAACAAACAAAGAGUUGAUAGAAACAAAUACAACUGUUCAAGACCUGAAAGCAGAAACAGAAGCAAUAACGAAACCACAAACUAAGGGAAUUCUGAUAAUGCAAAAUCUAGGUAAUCAAACAGGAACUACAGAUGUAGGUAUCAGCAACGGAGUACAGGAGAUGGAAGAGAGAACCAUAGAUGUUAGAGAAAUAUUAGUAGAAAUAAAUACACUUAAAGAAAAUGCUAAAUCUAAAAAAAAAAAAUCUGUCACAAAUAUCCAGAAAAUCUGGAGCAUACUAAGGAAGGAGAUAAAGAGAUUUAUGGAGUGAUCAUUGCAGUAUAAGAUCCUACCCAGCUAAGAUUUUGUUUUCAAAGAAGAGCUAAUACUAAUCAAAAUUAUUUCACAAAAUAGAUACAGGGAGAACAUUGCCAAAUUCAUUUUAUGAGACCACAGUCACCCAGAUACUCAAAUCACACAAAGAUUCC